UCUUGGACGUAAAUGAAUAAUAUUUACCAGAGUACUAUGAAUCAAAUAAAAUUUAAAACUCAAAGGGCUUGGCGGUGUUUUAGACCAUUCAGGGGAACCUGUCCCGUAAUCGACAAUCCACGUUAAACCUAACCUUUAUUUUGUAACCAGUUUGUAUACCGUCGUCGUCAGGUAACUUCCAAAAAAUCAGAAGUUAGCAACUUAAAUAAUCUAAAUUGAUACGUCAGAUCAAGGUGCAGCUUAUAAUAAGGUGAGGAUGGGUUACAAUUAUUAAUUUAUAAUGACGGAUAAUUAGAUGAAAAUAUUUAUGAAGGAGGACUUGAAAGUAAAAUAUAUUAUAAAAAUAACUUGAAUAAGGCUCUGAAACGUGC
This 371-nucleotide ribosomal RNA is filed under the name Entomoliva mirabilis. RNAcentral describes it as "partial 12S ribosomal RNA". Lineage: Eukaryota; Metazoa; Mollusca; Gastropoda; Neogastropoda; Olividae. The record is from RNAcentral.